GGCCUCACAGUGCUUACCACAGGCUGUGUUAUUUACACUGACUUUAUAUAUAGAGGAGGCACAGUAAAUGCAUCCUAUAUACACCUCAACCCAGGCCCUUUGCCUGGGCUGUAUUGUGAAUUGGGGGACUCUC
This is a small nucleolar RNA of Suncus etruscus (white-toothed pygmy shrew), 133 nucleotides long. RefSeq annotates it as small nucleolar RNA SNORA51. The transcript has a single exon. Lineage: Eukaryota; Metazoa; Chordata; Mammalia; Eulipotyphla; Soricidae. The record is from RefSeq and is a predicted model, not a curated record.